This 211-nucleotide long non-coding RNA is filed under the name Nicotiana benthamiana. Its description in RNAcentral is "long non-coding RNA (NBEN_LNC000370)". Lineage: Eukaryota; Viridiplantae; Streptophyta; Magnoliopsida; Solanales; Solanaceae. The record is from RNAcentral.
CUGCAUGCAACAUGGCGUGACCCCAAACUGAAGUGGGCAGCCGACGAACUAGCAUUGCUUCAGGCAAAAUGGCAUGACCCCAAACCGAAGUGGGCAGCCGACAAACUAGUAUUGUUGCAUGAAAAAUGGCGUGAACCCAAGUCGAAGCGGGCAGCCUCGUUUUCAUGAAGAAUUUCAAGAUUAUUCUCAUCUAUUGUCUCAAUAUGAUAUC